AGCGAACGCUGGCGGCGUGCCUAACACAUGCAAGUCGAACGUGAAAAGGGAAACCUGAGUUAAGUGGCGUACGGGUGAGUAACGCGUAGGUAAUCUACCCCAGAAUCUGGAAUAACCUGCCGAAAGGCGGGCUAAUACUGGAUAGAGCGAGGGAACUCGUAAGAGAGUUUUUCGGGAAAGGGAGCCCGCAAGGGCCUUCGUUCUGGGAUGAGCCUGCGUCUCAUUAGCUAGUUGGUAAGGUAACGGCUUACCAAGGCGAUGAUGAGUAGCUGGUCUGAGAGGAUGAUCAGCCACACUGGAACUGAAACACGGUCCAGACUCCUACGGGAGGCAGCAGUGGGGAAUCUUGCGCAAUGGACGAAAGUCUGACGCAGCCACGCCGCGUGAGUGAAGAAGGCCUUCGGGUUGUAAAGCUCUGUCGGAUGGGACGAACAUCUUCAUAGUGAAUAGCUAUGAGGACUGACGGUACCAUCAAAGGAAGCACCGGCUAACUCCGUG
This 498-nucleotide ribosomal RNA is filed under the name uncultured bacterium. RNAcentral describes it as "partial 16S ribosomal RNA". It matches the Rfam family "Bacterial small subunit ribosomal RNA", at positions 29 to 507 of the family's 1533-position model. The record is from RNAcentral.